UCAGACGAUGCGUCAUGCAUAUCAAUAAGCGGAGGAAAAGAAACUAACAAGGAUUCCCUCAGUAACGGCGAGUGAAGCGGGAAGAGCUCAAAUUUGAAACCUUGAAAGGUCACCUUUCACGAAUUGUAGUUUAAAGAAGUGUUUUCUGUUACGAUCGUAAUAUAAGUUCUUUGGAAUAGGACAUCACAGAGGGUGAGAAUCCCGUCUAUGAUUGCGAUUUGUAGCUUUGUGAUACACUUUCAAAGAGUCGGGUUGUUUGGGAAUGCAGCCCAAAACGGGAGGUAAAUUUCCUCUAAGGCUAAAUAUUGGCGAGAGACCGAUAGCGAACAAGUACCGUGAGGGAAAGAUGAAAAGAACUUUGAAAAGAGAGUUAAAUAGUACGUGAAAUUGUCAAAAGGGAAGCGUUUAACACCAGUGUUGUUUUCUCGAAAAUCAAUUAAAAAUGGCUCGAUUUUGUAUUGUUUGAGACCUUAAAAGCUCACUGUACAUUUUUCGUGUCUUUUUUAAUGCACUUUUCGUUUAACAAGUCAACAUCAGUUUCUUUUGUUGUAAAAGGGUCAUUGGAAGGUGGCUUUCUUUUCGGAGAAAGUGUUUAUAGCCUUUGGCCUCUGCAAUCGGAGAGACUGAGGUCUGCAGCGUAGACUCUUCGGGGUUAGAUACAUUUGUGCUAAGUUAUAGCUUUUUAUAGACAACUUGUUGACUAUAAUUAGUCUUGUAGCUUACUCGCUUAUGCUAUUUUACCUACGCUUAGGAUGUUGACUGAUAUGUAGUCGU
This 774-nucleotide ribosomal RNA is filed under the name uncultured Neocallimastigales. RNAcentral's name for it is "partial large subunit ribosomal RNA". It matches the Rfam family "Eukaryotic large subunit ribosomal RNA", at positions 18 to 630 of the family's 3401-position model. Lineage: Eukaryota; Fungi; Neocallimastigomycota; Neocallimastigomycetes; Neocallimastigales. The record is from RNAcentral.